GAUGAAGAACGUAGCGAAAUGCGAUAAGUAGUGUGAAUUGCAGAAUUCAGUGAAUCAUCGAAUCUUUGAACGCACAUUGCGCCCCUUGGUAUCCCGAGGGGCAUGCCUGUUCGAGCGUCAUUUCACCACUCAAGCCUGGCUUGGUGUUGGGCGACGUCCCCUUUGGGGACGCGCCUCGAAACGCUCGGCGGCGUGGCACCGGCUUUAAGCGUAGCAGAAUCUUUCGCUUUGGAAGUCGGGGCCCCGGCUGCCGGAAGACCUACUCGCAAGGUUGACCUCGGAUCAGGCAGGGAUACCCGCUGAACUUAAGCAUAUCAAUAAGCGGAGGA
This 329-nucleotide unclassified non-coding RNA is filed under the name soil metagenome. RNAcentral describes it as "partial contains 5.8S ribosomal RNA, internal transcribed spacer 2, and large subunit ribosomal RNA". The stretch from base 1 to 120 matches the Rfam family "5.8S ribosomal RNA", at positions 35 to 154 of the family's 154-position model. The record is from RNAcentral.